GACGAACGCUGGCGGCGUGCCUAAUACAUGCAAGUCGAGCGGACUUUCAAGAAGCUUGCUUUUUGAAAGUUAGCGGCGGACGGGUGAGUAACACGUGGGCAACCUGCCUGCAAGACGGGGAUAACUCCGGGAAACCGGGGCUAAUACCGGAUAAUAUCUUCCUUCGCAUGAAGGAAGGUUGAAAGGCGGCGCAAGCUGCCGCUUGCAGAUGGGCCCGCGGCGCAUUAGCUAGUUGGUGAGGUAACGGCUCACCAAGGCGACGUUGCGUAGCCGACCUGAGAGGGUGAUCGGCCACACUGGGACUGAGACACGGCCCAGACUCCUACGGGAGGCAGCAGUAGGGAAUCUUCCGCAAUGGACGAAAGUCUGACGGAGCAACGCCGCGUGAGCGAAGAAGGUCUUCGGAUCGUAAAGCUCUGUUGUCAGGGAAGAACAAGUACCGUUCGAACAGGGCGGUACCUUGACGGUACCUGACCAGAAAGCCACGGCUAACUACGUG
This 499-nucleotide ribosomal RNA is filed under the name uncultured bacterium. RNAcentral describes it as "partial 16S ribosomal RNA". It matches the Rfam family "Bacterial small subunit ribosomal RNA", at positions 28 to 507 of the family's 1533-position model. The record is from RNAcentral.